This 396-nucleotide ribosomal RNA is filed under the name Xenogryllus ululiu. RNAcentral's name for it is "partial 12S ribosomal RNA". Lineage: Eukaryota; Metazoa; Arthropoda; Insecta; Orthoptera; Gryllidae. The record is from RNAcentral.
UAUUAUUUCUAAUGUAGGAUGAUGUAACUGGGGUAGUAAUAGUAGGUCUUGAAACUCAAAGAAUUUGGCGGUGUUUUAGUCUUUUCAGGGGAAUCUGUCUCGUAAUUGAUAAUACACGAAUGGAAGUACUUAAUCUUGUUAUAAUAGUAUGUAUACCGCCGUCGUAAGAUUAUUUUUUGAGAAUANUAUUUUCUUAAUUUUAUAUUAAAUUAUAUGUCAGGUCAAGGUGCAGCUUAUGAUUAAGUGAAUGAUGGAUUACAAUAAUAUAAAUUAUGAUGGAUAAUUAUUUUAAGUUAAUUUGAAGGUGGACUUGAUUGUAAAUUUAUUUUAAUUUUUUAAUUGAUUUGAGCUCUAAAAUGUGUACAUAUCGCCCGUCGCUCUCGUUAUUAAGAUGAG